Long non-coding RNA from Medicago truncatula (barrel medic), 2057 nucleotides. RefSeq lists it as uncharacterized. NCBI's taxonomy places the organism in Eukaryota, Viridiplantae, Streptophyta, Magnoliopsida, Fabales, Fabaceae. The transcript has 2 exons. The record is from RefSeq and is a predicted model, not a curated record.
UCUAUGAAUGGAUGGACUCUUUCUUUAUAGUUUCUACCAGUUGAAAGCCAAUAGUCAACUCUGUAUGUGCUCUUUGAAUGGUCAACCAUAUUGCUCUCUGUUCAUUUUGCAUUCUUCUAAAGUGCCUCAUGUCUUUAACAAUUCCAUCUUUAAGGUUUCCUAUAUCCCUUGUCCACCAUGCUUCUUUCAUGACAACCAAGGUGUUCCCCAGUUCUUCAUGCCCGGUUCGAUAUGUGUAUACAAAAGGUAGGUGGUCUGAUGGAUAAUCAAUGAGGGACAUAGUUUUUUUACCAAUAAACGGCCAGUUAAAGACUGUUAAAAAGUUUUUAGGAUCAAUUUCAUAUAAACAAAGACUUCUUUUCGUCAGAGGACAUAAACAAAGACUUAGAGUUGCAUUAUUAUUAUUUCUUUGAAAAGGUUAAAGAAGUUUUAUUCAGGAUCCUAAAUGAAACUGGUACAAGCAGUACCGAUACAAAUAUGUUAUGCAAAUAUUUACAGAGUCAUACAAAGAAAUCGCAUUUUCGAAUUGAUGGUAAGCUGGUGUAAGGUUGUUUUUUUUUUUUUUUUUUUUGAAGUAAGACUGGUGUAAGGUUUAUUUUGAUGGUUAAUAAUUGAUUAUUUAAAUAAAUGGCUAACUAUUUAUUUAUGUUUUCCUUGUAUUAUACACUAUUGAUGUGAUCCCAAAUUCCACAAUGCCAAGGAAAACAUAAAUAAUUGGCAUUGCAGACUUUCGGGUUCACAUCAAUAGUGUAAAAUACAUCAACAUUCUCGGCAAGUUAGCUUUGGCUUUUAUAAUAUCAAUGGCUAAUAGUAGCAUCCAAAGUGUCUCUUCACCCGGUGCUUUCAGUAGUUGAUGAAAAUAUCUGAAUGUAUUGAAGUAUCAGGACAAAUUGUUCUACCUAUUUUCUAUGACGGGAGUCCAUCUGAGGUACGAAAGAAAAACGGAAAUUAUGAAAAAGCUUUUCAGAAGCAUGAAUCAAUGAAGCAAGAUUCAAAGAAAAUUUAGAGGAUUUGCAAAUAUGGAGGGGAGCCUUAGCACAAGUAGCCAAUCCCUGGCUGGAAUAUAAAGGAUCAGCCACAAUAUCCAGAUUGGAGAAAUCAUUGAAGAGUUAGAAAAGCUAUUUUGGACUCAGACAAUGAUGUUCGAGCUGUAGGGAUUUGUGGACUCUUGUUAAUGCUUUGUAUGCUAGAAUCUCUAAUCAAUUUGAUGCUUGUGCUUUAUCGACGAUGUGAGUAAAAUUUAUGGAGACUAUGGCCCAACCGAAGUGCAAAAGCAACUUCUUUGUCAAACUCUAAACGAAGAAAAUCUUCAGAUAUGCAAUCUUUCUAUGGGAUCUAAUUUGAUUCGAACUACGCUAUGUCAAAUAAAAUCUCUUGAAGUUCUUGAUAAUGUUCAAGUUGAACAACUUGAAAAAUUGGCCAUGAAAUGAUAAUGGCUAGGCACAGGAAGUAGAAUCAUCGUAAUAUCUAGAGAUAGCCAUAUCUUCAGAGAGCAUGGAGUAGAUGAAGUUUACAAAGUUCGACUCAUAAAUCAUAAUGAUGCCCUUCAAUUGUUUUGUAGGAAAGCUUUAAAAAUUGACGAUGUCAUGAGCGGUUACAUAAACUCGACAGAUGAUGUACUCGAAUAUGCCAAAGGUCUUGCAUAUUAGCAAUUAAAGUGUUGGGAUCAUUUUUGUAGGAGAAGUGUAUUGGCAAGAUUAAGAGAGAAUCCAAGGGCAGAUAUUAUGGAUGUACUUCGAAUUAGUUUUGAAGGACUAAAGGAUACAGAAAAGGAUAUAUUUCUAGAUAUUGCUUGUUUCUUCCAUCAAAGCAUGGAGACAUAAGUGAAGAAGUUUUUACUAUACUUUAACCACUUUUUUUUUAUGCCUCUAAAUUCCCCCCUUGUCAUACUCAUGUUUGUUGGCUUCUCUAUCACUCCUCCUAAUGACACUGCUCUAUUGUCUUCAUUAAAUUCUUUUAGUGAAAUGAAGUCUUGCCAACACUUUUAGUGGCAAAUUUUAAGAGUUAAGAGAUGAUGUUGUUUUAAAGAGAAAAAUACACUGACAUCUAAUUGUUUU